RNAcentral lists this small RNA (584 nucleotides) under Pan troglodytes (chimpanzee). RNAcentral describes it as "processed transcript". Lineage: Eukaryota; Metazoa; Chordata; Mammalia; Primates; Hominidae. The record is from RNAcentral.
CAUUGCUCCAAGAUGGCGGCGGCGGCGGCAGCGGGAGCGCAGCUCAGCUGGGCUGGAACUGCCCUCCUGGAACUCCCCCAGCCUGCAACCUAGGAGGUGCAGGGACUGAGGCUCAGGCCAAAUCGCAACUCAGACCCAGUGAACCCAAGGCCUGAAGAGAAUUUGGAUUCAUUUACAUUGUUUUGUGGGGACUGGAGAGACAAGUAAACUCUCAGAGUAACUGUCCCCUCUGACUACCAUUUCUAAGAUGGAGAAACUGAGACGCAGGGAGAUCAAGCACUUCCCGAGGUCACAACAGUGAAUGUUGGAGCUGGGAUGUGAACCUGAGCAGUCUGGCUGAAGAGUCUGCUGUAUUCACCACACAGACGCUCUACUUUUCUGACGUCCCUCUUAGAGCCACAAAGAUGCCAUUCCUUGCCCUCAGGAAUGCUCAAGGUUCCCCCCAUUUCCUCCAGAAUUCCUUCCUUCUUCUCUUCCUCUUCUGUCCAGAGGCUCUAAGGACUCUCACUCACUCAUCCUCUUUCCCAGGGGUACCCCUGGCCCUGCCCCAGUCUCCAGACCCACACUCACACUAGCCAGUCCAC